Long non-coding RNA from Mus musculus (house mouse), 2050 nucleotides. RefSeq annotates it as predicted gene 44691. The record is from RefSeq and is a predicted model, not a curated record. Lineage: Eukaryota; Metazoa; Chordata; Mammalia; Rodentia; Muridae. The transcript is spliced from 3 exons.
AGAAGACAUUCUCAGUGAGACCUUGGGCCAGUAGCACCCAGAUGUCUGGACCUAUCCAGUUAAAAUCCUUCAAAGUUGCUCACAUUUUUUGACACAUGUUGCUGUGAAAGAUUAGUGAGCUUUCAAUUUUGUUUUGUUUUGUUUUGUGAGUGUGGGUGCUUACAAAAUAAAGUCUGAAGGGAGUGUUACGCAGAUGCAUUUUAGACUGUGCAACCCGAUCGGUUUGAACUCUGAACGAUCAUAUUAUUUAUUUAUUUGUUUGUCUUUCCUUCUCAAAGACAGUUAAUUACUGAAGCACCGAGAGAGAACAUUUUGUAUUCCUGCUUUGCGAAUGUGCCUCGAAAACCUGAGACUAAUGAGACCAAGUUCUCACCCCAGCUGUGAACUUGCUGACUUUCCUGCUUGGAAACCCGAGCAGAGCUUCUGAACAUUGAAACUUCACCUGGACCUUCUGGCAGCAUUUUGACCUUUCCUGGCUCUAUCUCAGUAUUUGAAUCAUUUGGGCUUUGGAUUAUGAACACAAGACACAGAAUGAAGACAGGCUCUGAGGGGCAAGUCUAUCUGGAUUUGACCUGGGUAGCUGAGUCCUCUUCCCACUCGUUUCUCCACCGCUUGAGAGGCUGAGGCUGAAAAUCCCAGGAAUGAAGAUUCUAAGAAACACCUUCUGCAAAAGAAAAAAAAAAUGUUUGUUUCUGUAAUUUUAUAAACCCUUGAUUUAACAGAACUUAAAAGGCACCUCACAUGGUCCAGAGGCUCUGAAUAUCACAUCUGCUUUUAAUAUUCUUGGGUGUCUUGGGCUUUUUUGGAGUCGGUUUGAUGCUGUCUUUUGUUGGAGGACAACUGCUGUAUUCUGUGAUGCAGGGAGUUGCCAGUUCAAAGGAUACAGCCUUACUUAGGCAAUUUCUUUUCCCUUGCCCUCCCCCACUUUCUCAGUGUUUCCUUUUGUUUUUGGAGUUGGGGGCUUUAAAACAGUCACAAGAGGCUCUCAGUAUAUUUUCUUUGAAGAACAGCUCUUUAUAACAAUGAUAGCAAAAUUUGUAGUCCGGUUUGAAGUUGAAUGGGCAGGGGAAAAAAAAAUACUGUUAAGACCACCACCGUUUGUCCUGAGCCAGGUAAAUGAAUGCCUGAGACUCAGUACUGGAGGGACAGGUAUAAUGACUGUGAAGCAAAUUUCAAGUGUCUUUCGCUAAUUUUCAUCUGGACUUCUUAUGUUCAGGAGUAAUUCAACACUCCUAGGUGAACUUCCCUACCACGGCUGAUUAUGUUAAAUAUCUUCCCUCCCAAACUCAGUGUGGGCAGUGCUUUAAAAGGAGCCUAGAUUCUGAACAUUUAAAAAGGCUCUUACUCAUUCAAAUUGAAUGUUAGAUUAAAGAGUGGGACAUCCGUGGACGCGAGAGGAAAGCUGGCCUUCUGCGUUUGUCUCAGACAAUGAUUUCGGCUAGAUGACUGUGUUUUGUGGAGAAAAGGAUUCGAUGGGAUAUUGACAGUCUCCUAUCAAUAGUUGAGCCCUAGAGGCCUGGCUGUUUGGGCCCACACUGAUUGACUGUGCCUUAAUAGACAUGUAAUUGUUGACAAAUACUUUCCGAUAGACUGUGGCAAUACCCAGCCAGACAAAGGAGGCUUCCGGGUAAUAAGAACCAGCACAGAGCCAUUUGUUACAGGCAAAGCCUUGCCGAAGAAACGACGUAUGCUAAGAAAGAAGCUCUGGAGAGAAAGAAGCAAGCUUGACAACCCUCUACCCACGCAGCCAAACCUGGGUGACACUGGUGAAGCCGCAACAGUAGAAUGUCCUGGGUCUUGAAGUAUCUGAAGCUUCUUCUAACAGACAAACGGGGUUGGAAAGAUGGCUCAGUGGUGAAGGGCGUGCACUGCUCUUCUCGAGGACCUGAGUUCAGAUCCCAGCACCUACAUCAGAUCACUCUCCAUCACCUGUGACUCCAACUCUAGGGAGAACAAACAUCCCUGGCCUCUACUGGCAUUUGCUCUCACAUGUAUAUAUGUCACCCAAACAUAAACACACAAUUUAAAAUAAUAAAAAUCAAUCUUAAGU